Molecule: ribosomal RNA, 253 nt
Filed under: uncultured bacterium
Lineage: Bacteria
Description: partial 16S ribosomal RNA
Rfam family: Bacterial small subunit ribosomal RNA
Source: RNAcentral
UACGAAGGGGACUAGCGUUGUUCGGAAUCACUGGGCGUAAAGCGCACGUAGGCGGCAUUGCAAGUCGGAUGUGAAAUCCCUCGGCUUAACCAAGGAAGUGCAUCCGAAACUGCAGUGCUUGAGUACUUAAGAGGAUCGCGGAAUUCCCGGUGUAGAGGUGAAAUUCGUAGAUAUCGGGAGGAACACCAGUGGCGAAGGCGGCGAUCUGGGAAGAUACUGACGCUGAGGUGCGAAAGCGUGGGGAGCAAACAGG